This is a long non-coding RNA of Balaenoptera ricei (Rice's whale), 243 nucleotides long. RefSeq lists it as uncharacterized. The record is from RefSeq and is a predicted model, not a curated record. Lineage: Eukaryota; Metazoa; Chordata; Mammalia; Artiodactyla; Balaenopteridae. The transcript is spliced from 3 exons.
AGGUCAGCUCCCCAGGAAACAGACACCAAGGCUCUGAGCUGUGCAUGCUGGGACAUUACCGGGGAGAGAAGGGACGUCAGUGUAUAUUUUUUCCUACCUUCAAUGAAUGCCCUAUUGAAAACCCUAAGGAGAGACAACUAACUGUGAAGGACAUUUACCAUCAGCACAUCCUUACUGGAGCAGAGUUCCUCCUCCCAUUCAGCAGCCCAGGGCAGCCCCCUGUCGCCAUGGUGCCAGAAGAUG